GACGAACGCUGGCGGCGUGCUUAACACAUGCAAGUCGAACGGAAAGGCCCCUUUGGGGGUACUCGAGUGGCGAACGGGUGAGUAACACGUGAGUAACCUGCCCUUGACUUCGGGAUAACUUCAGGAAACUGGGGCUAAUACCGGAUAGGAAUCCUUGCUGCAUGGUGGGGGUUGGAAAGCUUCGGCGGUUUUGGAUGGACUCGCGGCUUAUCAGCUUGUUGGUGGGGUAGUGGCUUACCAAGGCUUUGACGGGUAGCCGGCCUGAGAGGGCGACCGGCCACAUUGGGACUGAGAUACGGCCCAGACUCCUACGGGAGGCAGCAGUGGGGAAUAUUGCACAAUGGGCGGAAGCCUGACGCAGCAACGCCGCGGGCGGGAUGACGGCCUUCGGGUUGUAAACCGCUUUCAGCAGGGGCGAAGCUUGUGGUGACGGUACCUGCAGAAGAAGCACCGGCUAACUACGUG
This 465-nucleotide ribosomal RNA is filed under the name uncultured bacterium. RNAcentral's name for it is "partial 16S ribosomal RNA". It matches the Rfam family "Bacterial small subunit ribosomal RNA", at positions 28 to 507 of the family's 1533-position model. The record is from RNAcentral.